RNAcentral lists this long non-coding RNA (23018 nucleotides) under Triticum aestivum (bread wheat). RNAcentral's name for it is "long non-coding RNA (TAES_LNC006207)". Lineage: Eukaryota; Viridiplantae; Streptophyta; Magnoliopsida; Poales; Poaceae. The record is from RNAcentral.
CUGCAACUGCCCCGUGCUCCCUGGGCAACCAAAUCCAGCCCCACCACUGCCGUGCCCUGCCGUCGUCGACGGGACGAUGCGGCCGUCGUCUCCUUCCUCUGCCCGAGGCUGGUUGAGAUCCUUUCUCUCCGGCUCCGAUUGAGCCCACUACCCCCCAUAUGCUUGCUCUUUGAUGAUCUCCUCCACGCGUCUGGACGCCGUGAUGGCGGAGGUGGAGGAUCCGCUGGUCACGGUGGCAUCUGAUGUCUGUGUCGCACUGGCGGGGAUGGAGCAGCCUCCGGCGGUGGUGGUGUCUGAUGUGGUCUUUCUGGCAUCAUGAUCUGUUGAGUGGAGGUGCAACAGUGUCAGGUCCCAGCGCCGACUGCGAUUCUGGCCUGAUUCAGGCAGAAGGGUCCCGUGGGAGAGCAUUGACACCUUCUCGUCGGAAAUUCGUUGACUGGACCAUCAUAGCCUAGCGAUUCUGGCUGCCUGCAUGUCAAUACAAUGUAGUAGUAUUUGCUAGUAGUCCUGCUACAUGAGUCUAGUUUAUAUUUACAUUUUUAAUGUUUGUUUUCCUUUUUCUAAUUUAGUGCUAGUCUGCUACUCAGUACAUGACUGAAGCAAACUAGUCCAAUUCUAUGUAUGUUUCAUCUUCCUUGCAGAAACUGAAUGAUUGGGUGGUGAAAUAGGUGUUUUCUUUAGUCAACUAACACUGUAACAUUUGUAUGUUACGGUUUUUGGGCGGCGAUUUGAGUUGGAAUAGGAGGAGGAAAGUACAUAAGAGUAUCGAGAGGAUAGUUCUAAUGUUAUUGCUCAAUCCUCUCAAAAUGCAUCUGUGUGGUUUCUGUGUUUUCUUGCAUGCAUAUAAGUAACCAGUUGGCUAGUUUGUUGUCAUAGUUGCACAGAAACACAAAUGUAGUUGGAUCAUGCAUAUACAUAUCUCAGUUGGCUAGCCAACUUAUGAAGUUGCACAGUGAGGGCUAACCAGUUGCACAAGCAAUGGUAUUCAGAUGGAUACACUAUGUAAACCAUGUUCAAGCAAUAUGUGUGUUCUUUUGGUUGCACACUCAUGUGUGCUCUGUUUUCACAAGGCAUGCAUUCAUACAUGAGUUUGCAAAUCAAGGCAGUAAAUAUCCUAGCUGGCUUAGUCACACUUAUGCAGUUGUACAGGGAAGGCUAUAUAGUUGGUUGACAACUAGUUUAGUUUUGGCUCCAAUGCCUAAAUCAUGACCAUGCAGUGUGUAUGCUGAUUUUUUGGUUGCACACUCAUGUGUGAUCUGUUGGUCAUACAGUGCAUCAAGUUGUACACAUUUUGUUUUGUUUUGUAGGUGUGCUUUGGAAAAUCAACAUUACUUGCUUACCUCAUGGCAUUUUUUUGAUAUCAAUUGUUUUUGCUCAUUUUUACUUUUUAAUACGUUUGGUUGCUUCGACUAAUUUGUUUGUUCGCUUUUUUUUCACAGACCAAAAAUGAUUGUAGAAGGAGAUACGGCUCCUAGUGAAGGAGAGGUAUGUUUGCUUUUUUCAUCAUUUUUCAUUUAUCCUUGCAACAGUUUUGUUUUGCAAUUAUAAUAACUAUUUUUGGGGGGUUUUCCUGACCAUAUUCCGUGUUUUGUUUGGCUAUGCAGGGGCCGUAAACAAUUCUUCUUGGCGGAAUUCGAAACAGCCCGCCAAGUGGCAGUCGCGUCGUGCUCAUAUCGAUGGGGAGGCAGAGGAUGAUGAGGUAAGUAUCGUGCAAGGUUUUCGACUCGACGAGUCGUUCUGGGGUAGCGACACUUGACGAUUCAUGCCGUGCCGAUCUAGUCGAGGUGUUUGAGUCGACUUCUAGUUACGACUCAUCGACUAGUCGUGACUAUUCGUUCGACUCGAAAAGAUGAGUAUCGAGCAAGCAGUGUGGGUGGAUUUCCCUUUUUUGCACACACACACAAGUAACUUUUUCCAUGCAUCCUUUAGGUUGGUGACCCAUUCCGCUUCGUGAGACGGCAGAAACGGAAGGCGACCAUGUAGGUUGGAGUUGUGGCUGGAGUUGCCACACCGUCUGCAGCAUCUGCCGAGGUAACAUAAAAUGGCAUUAGGAUUUUUUUUCUACACAAAGAAACCUGGGAUCUUAUUUUUUACACAGUUGCAAAAGAACCAGCUAGGUGUUGGCACCCUGAACUUUUACAGUUGUACACAAAUCAAUUAAGAGUUGGUAUCCUCAACUUUUCAAAUAGUUGCACAUUAGUAUCAUACGAGUUGGCAUCCUCGACUUUCAUAGUUGCACUAGAACCAUUUGGGAGUUGGCAGUCUCAACUUUUUGAAUAGUCUCGUAACAAUAUCACAUGAGUUGGCAUCCGCAACUAUUUUAGUUGCACAAGAACCAAUCAGGAGUUGGCAUCCCCAAUUUUUUAAUAGUUUCACAACAGUGCCACAUGAGUUGACAUCUUCAUCUUCUUUAGUUGCACAAGAACCAUUCAGUAGUUGGCAUCCUCAUGUGUUCACAUGCAUAUGAUUUUCUAGGUGUGCAAAUGCACUUGAAAAUAGUUGUACUACUUAUUUGGAAGAUUAUAAUCUGUUAAAUUCAAUAUUUUUUUGUCUAUUUUCUUGUGUUUAGAUAGGCUAAAUUCAUCAUGUUCCUCAGUUUAAAAUUCAUUACAUAGCUACACAAACAUGCAACAUGAUUUGCAUGCAGGAGUACUUGCAGUUGCACAAAAUAAAUGAUGUAGUUGCACAACAGCCAGCAUAAAGUUUUUUUUUGGAAUUUUGCAUACAGAUUUUUAGCUAAAACCAAAAUGAAUCUGAAAUUAUCUAAAUUGGCAUCUUCUACUUUUAUAUGAGUUGAUGAUGCCAACUACUGAAAUUCAAACCCCACAAGUAGAUGGAUAUGGGAGUGUUGUCAGUUGCACACUUGUACUUGUUAAGUUGCACAAAUACAAGCUAGAGUUGGUUCAUUUUUUCUCAAGCUUCUUUUUUUGCAUCAUGUGCAGGUUUUACAGGUUAUGGGGGUGGAUGAACUGACAAUUCUAAGCUACAAAGUCACAUAUACUACUGUGUGGAAAGAUUAAAGGAAAAACCGUAUACUUCUUGUCUAGUUGGUAGUUAUAUUUUCAUAGUACCUACAAUAUGUUUUUUGCUACAGUGACACCAGUUCUUCUGCAUUAUGUGUGAAAUAAGACUAUAUGUGCUCUCUUAUAUAUAUUUGCAUAUUUUCUAUGUUUUGUUGCACACAUUGCAGCAAAAGUUGACUUGUUUUAUGAUCUAGUUGCACAAAAAUUAGUUAAAAUUGCACAGGUACCGCAUCUCCCUGUUUUUUAUCCUUGUUUGUGUUGUCUUCAAGUAUUUAGAAGCUAUUUUUACAAGAGAAAUUUGGUGUGGGGGUGAAAGAGAAAGUCAAGGAGGGAGGAUCUGGACAGGAGGAGAAAAGGAUCAACCUCUUUUUUCACCCUUAUUGGUGCUGCCUGGUACUUUCUAAUCUGUCCUCCCUCUUUCUUCUUUUUUUCGCAGCAAAUUGUUCCAGACCAUUGUUAUUUCACCUUGAUUCAUCUGCCAUGGCAGCUCUGGCGAUGGAGAUCCAGAACUGGGAACCCCUUGUUUUCGUGUGGAAGAAGGUGGGGGCAGGUAGGGGCAUGGGGAGAAGAAGUUGGUGGCCAAGAGGGUGUGAGAGUUUCGAGUGCUUCAGGAGGGGAGGCAAGGGCACGCGAUAUCCUGGGGACCGCGUCCAGUGUGUGGUUGGCGCGGUCUGUAGCUGGCUUUUCUUUUUAGUGUGUAGUUUGUUGGGUUGGCGCGGGUCUGUAGCUGGCUUUCCUUUUCUGGGAUCAGGUGGACCGAAUCUUUCUUUUUCUGGUGGCCGCUCGGGAACGCUAGGGAGCAGCUGGCCGCUCCCUAGACGUGUUCAAAAAAAAUCCCCACGACCCACCUCCCGCAAGCCAUAGUCCCUCGAUCCCCACCUCCCGCAGUCCCUCGAUCCACUCCACCCUGACCCAUCGGCGCCUCCCCCCACCAGCCCGCCGCCUGCUGUAACCCCGCUCACCGCUCCGCCGACGCGGAUCCGGCUGCCGCCCCCGCCCCCUGCCCUGUCUCCAACCGGCGCCACCGCCCCGCGCUCUGCCGCCAAUCGCGCUCGUCGUCGUUGGCUGCUCGCAUCCCCGCCACCAGGACCUCGCCCCGUCGCCGCCCACCACCAGGACCUCGCCCCGCCGCCGCCCACCACCUGGAGGUCCCCUCUCUGCGCGUGGAUCUGGUCUUUCCCGAGCUCCCCCCGCGACGGAGGAACACAAGGCAGAGGCACCGGCGCCGGGAGGAGUAGAACAGGGCGCCAGCACCUGCCGCCCGCCAAAUGCUGCUCCUCGAACUUCCUAGUGCAUACUAGCUUCCUUCAUCGAGGCCCCCCUGGCGAUGGUUUGUGUUUGUUGCCCACAUGUUCGUGUUAAUGCUAGGAGGAGUGCUGCUAUUGAAUUUUGUUUGUUGAUGCUGGAUACAGUACUGAACUAUGUAUAGUUAGUGAAAAAUUGGACCCCUCCCUAUUGUUACUGAUCUAACUCUCUCCACUGAACUCUCUCUUCGGAAAGAUUUGAACUUCUUUUAUUUUUCACAGAAGUUAACUUCAAAAACAUGUUUCUGUAUUUAUCUUCUGAAAUAAAUGCAGUUUGAUGCCACUUAUAUGUGAUGGAUGAAUUGGUUUCAGCACUGUUGAAAAACACUUUAAGAAUGUGUGGAAUGCAGGUCCACCAUCAUCUUUCGGACCCGACGGUGCUCCGUAUAAGCAGCAACAACAAUGUGCGUCACGUAAUGCAUCCAGAUAAAUUUCAAGAAAGUAAACAGUCUAAAAGUUCAGAGACGACAUGACGAGAAAACUUAUGGCCCGACAAGGUCUCCUUGCACCUAAACGGCUACCAUUUUUCUAUUAGCGAAAUUUCCUCUGUUUUGGAUUUAUGAAGAUGGAACAGAUCACUGGUUAGAAUUUUGUUGGUACGCUGUUGCUGCAGUUUAACAUGAGAGAGAGAGAUUUCUUUUAAGAGGUUAGCGUUGCUGCCGUCCGUAGUUAAAGAAAUGAGAAGAGAGAGAGAGAGUGCGGAUAGGAUGUAGUGGGUGUGUGCUGGAUAGAAACCACUAACUUUAGAAGAAAAAAUAUUUCUUUAUCUGGCACUUAGUGGGUGUGUCUUUCUCUGAAUAGUGGGUAGUAUAUUCUGUGUACAAGGCAUAGACUAUGCUUUGUCUGUUUCAUGUCCUGUUCAAUUGGUAAAUUGUCGGUAGUAUGUUACAUAGCGCUUGCUCGCAUGUAUUGCCGCUAGGAAGUUCAAAGAACAGAAAACUAUAAGCUCAGGUAUGAUAUCACACAAAUUUCAUAGAAGAAAAAAAAUACGUACAAACAGGAAAAGUUCACCAGAAAAACAUAGAAAGUUGAGAAAAAAACCAAUAGUUCAUUUUCGAGAAAAAGUGAAGUUCAAAAAAAGAGAAACAUCACUAAAAAAUCGAUGUGCAAAAAAAAUACCAGAGAUUUUAGAGGAAAAAACUCAAGAAUUUUGUGGGUAUACCUAAAAGAUUCUAUACUAUGUCCCAGGAAGUUUCAUGUUUCUGAAAGCACCUAGAAGUUCAAAAUUAAAUAACAAAGUGGUUCAAUAUUUAUUACAAAACUAAGAUUUUUCCAUUACUAAAAGAAAUAAAUCAAGAAGUCCAAAUUACAAAAAAAGCAGUUUAAGAAUAUGACUAAGAAGUUGGAAUUAAAAUAACAAAGAAGUUCGAAGUAUAUAAAAAACUCAAAUUUGUUGCAAGAAGUUCACGUGCACCUCCGUGCACGGUUUAUGAUUUAUAUCGCGGGACGUCCGACCUCCAAUUACAUGUUUUAAAAUGGCAAAAAAAUCAUGUCCGACCUUCAAUUGCGUGUAAUUCGACGUAUACACAAAAAUGUGACAAAAGUUCAUAGUGAAAACAACGAGAAGUUCAAGUACUCCAAGGAAUGCAUUUCAGGUGAGAAUAAAAGUAUAGAAAACUAAAAGUUUAAAAGGUUUGUUGAAAGAAGUUCAAGUGCUCUUUCCGGGGGAGUUCAAAAAUUCUUGCGAGAGAGGUUCACCUUGUAUUUCCAUGUUCGGUUUUUUCCGUAUAAAAAUCGAAUACAAUUCUUUAUUCAAAAAUAUAAAAAGGUGAAGUUCAAAUUGAAAUAACAGAGAAGUUCGGAGUUUAUUAAAACCUAGGAUUUACCAGUUCAAAAAAUAAAAAACACAACACCUUUUUUUUACACUUUUAAAAACAACUCAUAAAUGAAAAAAUGGUUGCUAGAAGUUCAAGUGCACGGCGAGGAAAAGUUCAAAAAUUCUUGUGAGAGAGGUUCACCGUGUGUUUAGAUGUCCAAAAUACAUAAAAAGAUGUUGUUUGUUGUGUUUUAAAAUAAUUCACUCAAACCAGAGAGAAGUUCAAAGUGAUAACAUCCAGAAGUUUACGUACUACAUGGUGUGUGUUUCGUAUAAGAAAAAUCCAAUAAAGUGAAACAGAGUGAAGUUCAAACAGACAUACCCCAGAAGUUCAACUACUUCACGCAGUGCAAAAGACAACACGUCAAAAACAGAGUGAGGUUCAAACAGACAUGCCCGUGAAGUUCAACUACUUCACACAGUGCGUUUCCAUUCGUAGUGAAGGCAGAAAUCAUGAUCUCGUCAUUUCUCUAAUUUACUUCAAAACGAUAGGAAUAUCAUUUGUGUAAGUUCAAGUCCUCGGUCGGAGAAAGUUAAAAAAUAUUGUGAGAGAGGUUUGUAUAAAAAAAUAUCAUUGGUGUAACACUGACGAAAUGGAUGAGAAAAUUACAAAAGAAAAUACAUCACAGAAGUUCAACGUGAAAAUAGCAGGAAGUUCGACUACUAUAGUGAAUGAAUUUGAGAUGAGAAACUUUUAAAAUCGUUGCGAGUAUGAAAAAAUGAUCAACACGGUAAAGUUGCAUGUUUACAUCAGCUUUCCACCGAUAUAUUACUUGCUCAAUUCCAGUGAGUGUUCCGGUGAGUGGAUGGAGAGCUACGGGCAAAAAAAGCACGUGAAAAACAGAGUGAAGUUCAAGUAGACAUGCCGAGAAGUUCAGGUUCUUCACGCGGUGCAUUUUCGAUGAAUCUGUUUCGCGAUAAAGGCGGAACGAAUGAUCUCGCCAUUUUUGAAAUUACUUGAAAACGGCUAGGAAUCAUUUAAAACAUCAACAUGAAAAAGUUUCGCAUUUUCCUUAGCUUUUCAACGGUAUAUUAUUUGCUCCAUUUCGAUAAAGUUUGUAGAAAUUACGGCGAAAAUACCUUUUUAGCCAUUUGCAAAAUAGACUUAAAACAAUAAGGAAUUGGGAGAAACAAUAUAUACCAAAAAGUUUCUCAUUUCCUCAAGCUUUCCAACGCCGUAUCAUUUUCUACAUUCGGACGCACGGUUAAAAAAUUAGCUCGAAAAUACGAACUCGGUGCAACUUGUACCGUUUUAUAAAUCUCUUUUAAACCGUUCAAAAUUAGAAAAAACUUUCAACACAAAAAAGUAGCGCAUUUUCAUAAGCUUUCCAAUGCCAUAUCAUUUACCUCAAUUGGAUUAGCCAUUUAGAAAUUACAUCGAAAAUACGAACUCUGCUGUUCGGUUUGUGAAAUUUUACAAUUUUCCAAAUUACUCUUUAACCAUAGGGAAUUAGGGAAAACUUUCAACAUGUGGAAGAAGCGGUUUUGCAGCAGCUUUCCAACGCCAUAUUAUUUGCCUCAUUCCGAUAAACGGUUUUAAAAUGCGAUCGAAAAAUACGGUUCACGUUUUUUAUAUGAAGAAAAAACGGUUUUCAAAACUGCUCUUAAACGGCUUAUAUUUUGCCAAAAAUUUAACUUGGGUCAUGAUACUGGUGUCCAUAACUUUCCAACGAUAUAUCGCAAGCCCCAUUUGGGCAAUGUUGGCGGAAGUUCAACCUAGCACUGGGAGAAGUUCAGGUCGAACAACUCGGACAGUAAAAUUGCAAAAAUGCAAUUUCAUCAUGACCCGAGAGCAAAAUCCACCAACGAGAGAGAUUCCUAUUUAAAACCGGCAUUUAUUUGCUAAAAAACUUUUCUAGAUUACACCAACAUCAUAUAGAAUACGACUAACCAGAAUAAUUCGCGGGGGAAGCCACGGUUGCGAAGAUAGCCCGAAGGUCGGGUUCGUACAGAGGGAAGUUCAGGCGCGUUACUCAGGCAGUUCAGGUUCUGAUCAGAAUAUUAUUCUGAUCCCGCGAUCAGAAUGGUGUUUAUAUAUAUAUAUAUAUAUAUGAUCUCUUAUGCUAAAGUAACAAUUCAAUCACAAUUUUAAGUAUGAAUCAUAAACUUCAUUGAAAACUAACAAACUUUAAUCUCAGUUAUUGAGGCAAUUGCUAUUUAUCAUAACAUAUGAAAGAGUCAAUAUAAGAGCUUUUCAGCAAGUCCACAUACUCAACUAUCAUUUAGUCUUUCACAAUUGCUAUCACUCACGCAAUAUUUAUGGGUAUGGAGUUUUAAUCGGACACAGAGAAAGAUAGGGGCUUAUAGUUUUGCCUCCCAAUGUUUUACCUCAAGGGUAAUGUCAACAAUAAUAGCUCAUGCAGACUCACAUCCAAUUAGCUAUAUGUAUCUGGAUCUUUCCAACACAUUGUGCUUGCCAAAGGAUAAAAUGUAAAAAGGAAAGGUGAAGAUCACCAUGACUCUUUGCAUGAAGUAUAAGACAAGAAUAAAAGAUAGGCCCUUCGCGGAGGGAAGCAGAGGUUGUCAUGCGCUUUUAUGGUUGGAUGCACGUAAUCUUAAUGCAAAAGAAUGUCACUUUAUAUUGCCACUUGUGAUAUGGACCUUUAUCAUGAAGUCCGUCGCUUUUAUUUCUUCCAUAUCACAAGAUCGUAUAAAGCUUAUUUCUCCACACUAAAAAGUCAUACAUAUUUAGAGAGCAAUUUUUAUUGCUUGCACCGAUGACAACUUACUUGAAGGAUCUUACUCAAUUCAUAGGUAGAUAUAAUGGACUCUCAUGGCAAAACUGGGUUUAGGGAUAUUUGGAAGCACAAGUAGUAUCUCUACUUGGUGCAAAGAAUUGGCUAGCAAGAGAGGGAAAGGCAAGCUCAACAUGUUGGAUGAUCCAUGACAAUAUAAUUUAUCUCAGAGUAAGAAAUCAUAACCCAUUACGUUGUCUUCCUUGUCCAACAUCAACUCUUUAGCAUAUCAUACUUUAAUGAGUGCUCACAAUCAUAAAAGAUGUCCAAGAUAGUAUAUUUAUAUGUGAAGACCUCUCUUUCUUUAUUACUUCCUAUUAAUUGCAACAAUGACCAAAACUAUGUUUGUCAACUCUCAACAACUUUUAUUCAUCAUACUCCUUAUAUGUGAGCUCAUUACUCUCCAUAAGAUCCAUAUGAUCUCUUUAUUUCUUUUUAUUUCUUCUCUUUUUCUUUUUAUUUUAUUCCCACAAGAUCAUAGCAAAAAAAUCAAGCCCUUGACUCAACACUAAUCUUUAUUAUAUAUAGCUCACGGACUCGAUUACAUAGGAAUAUCAUAAAGCAAAACUCACAACUAGAUCAUACUAAAAUUUUAUUCUACUAGAUCAAGAUAUUAUCAAAAGGAUCGAACUAAGAAAAAACGGUAAAGAUAAAAGUUGUGAUGCUGAUACUAUACCGGGGCACUCUCCCAAGCUUGGCAGUUGCCAAGGGGAGUGCCCAUGCCCAUGUGAUUAUGUCUCCUUCUUCAGGGGUGAUGACGUGAUAUUCUUGGCGAUGAUGCCCCUCAGGAUACGAUUCUCUUCCUCGAGCUUAUUGACUUGCUGCUUGAGGUUCAUUAUUUCCUUACGGAGCUUGCCAGUGACAGCUAAAGCUCCUUUCACCCAAGGAUGUUGCAUAGCUGCGGGAGAACAAGUAACACUCUUUUCCAUAUUUUCAUAAGAAAGAAAUCUAACAUUGGAAGGGAUAACCGAGUUUGGAAUAGCUGAGCUCUAUGGUUCCCCCAUCGUGAAUCCUGCCCGGAAACAAGAAGUAACUUCUUGAUCCUCCUCCAUGGCAUCUAUCCUUUUCAAGUCAGCUUCCAUCUCUUCCUCCGUUGAGGGCCCAAAGUGAUAGGCAUUGCUGUUUGCCCCUGGACCUGGUGUUGGAUGAGACACCCGACUCUCCCCGACUGACUCUUGAGAAGACAUCUUGCUCUAAUCUGCGGCAGAAAUAGCUCGAAACAAAGACAUGAGAUAUUUGCGUGAUACGGUGGUCAAAACCUUGGGGAGAUUAUAUAAUGAAUUUUUACCGACCAAAAGAAGUAUCGUGCAAGAAAACGGAGUCCGGAGAGCACACAAGGUGCCCACGAGGCAGGGGGGCAUGCCCAGGGGAGUAGGGCGCGCCCUCCACCCUCGUGGAAGCCCCGUGUCCUUUCCGGUCUACUUCUUAUUUUCCUAUUUUCUUAAAUAUUCCAAAACAGAGAAAAAUUGCCAUUAGAACUGUUUUGGAGUCGGUUUACUUACCGUACCACGUACCUAUUCCUUUUCGGAGUCUGAAACGUUCCAGAAAGUGUUCCUUAUGUAUUCAUCCGGGGUUACGGUUUCAAUAACAUUAGUUUCAACAUUUAUAGGAUUACCUGAGAUAUAAUGUUUGAUUCUUUGACCGUUCACCACCCUUGGAUUUGUGCCUUCGAAGUUGUUGAUUUUUAUGGCACCGAAACGAUAGACCUCCUCGAUGACGUAAGGUCCUUCCCAUUUAGAGAGAAGUUUUCCUGCAAAAAAUCUUAAACGAGAGUUGUAUAGCAAUACAUAAUCACCUACAUUAAACUCACGCUUUUUUAUCCUUUUGUCAUGCCAUCUUUUAACUUUUUCUUUAAAUAGUUUGGCAUUUUCAUAGGCUUGGGUCCUCCAUUCAUCAAGUUAGCUAAUGUCAAAAAGGCUCUUCUCACCGGCAAGUUUGAAAUCAUAAUUGAGCUCUUUAAUAGCCCAAUAUGCCUUAUGUUCUAGCUCGAGAGGUAAGUGACAUGCUUUACCAUAAACCAUUUUAUACGGAGACAUACCCAUAGGAUUUUUAUAUGCAGUUCUAUAAGCCCAUAAUGCAUCAUCAAGUUUCUUGGACCAAUUCUUCCUAGAUCUAUUAAUAGUCUUUUGCAAAAUUAAUUUAAGCUAUGUAUUGCUAAGUUCUACUUGACCACCAGACUAUGGAUGAUAUGGAGAUGGAAUUCUAUGAUUAAGAUCAUACUUAGCAAGCAUUUUAUGAAAGGCACCAUGAAUAAAAUGUGAACCAGCAUCAGUCAUUAAAUAUCUAGGGACUCCAAACCUCGGAAAAAUAACUUCUUUAAGCAUCUUAAUAGAGGUGUUAUGAUCAGCACUACUAGCUAGAAUAGCUUCCACCCACUUAGUAACGUAACCAACAACAACUAAAAUAUGUGUAUACCCAUUCGAGGAAGGAAAAGGUCCCAUAUAAUCGAAGCCCCAAACAUCAAAUGGUUCAAUAACAAGUGAAUAAUUCAUAGGAAUUUCUUGACGUCUACUAAUAUUACCAAUUCUUUGACAUUCAUCACAAGACAAGACAAACUUACGGGCAUCCUUGAAGAGAGUAGGCCAAUAAAAACCUAAUUGCAAUACCUUAUGUGCAGUUCUGUCUCUAGCAUGGUGUCCUCCAUAAGCUUUGGAGUGACACUUGCGUAAGAUAUGUUCCUGUUCAUGCUCAGGUACACAACGUCUAAUAACACCAUCUACUCCUUCUUUACAAAGAUGUGGGUCAUCCCAAAAGUAAUGUCUUAAAUCAUAGAAGAACCUUUUCUUUUGCUGGUAUGUGAAACUAGGUGGUAUAAAUUUAGCAAAAAUAUAAUUAGCAUAAUCAGCAUACCAUGGAGCAGUAUGAGAAGCAUUUAUGACAUUUAAUUAUUCAUCAGGAAAGCUAUCAUCAAUAGGUAGUGGGUCAUCAAGAACAUUCUCUAACCUAGACAAGUUGUCUGCAACGGGGUUCUCAGCUCCCUUUCUAUCAAUGAUAUGCAAAUCAAAUUCUUGUAGUAGGAUAACCCAUCUAAUAAGUCUAGGUUUAGCAUCUUUCUUUUCCAUAAGAUAUUUAAUAGCAGCAUGAUCAGUGUGAAUAGUUACUUUAGAAUCAACAAUAUAAGGUCUGAACUUAUCACAUGCAAAUACAACUGCUAAGAAUUCUUUUUCAGUAGCAGCAUAAUUUCUCUGGGUAUUGUCUAGAGUUUUACUAGCAUAUUGAAUAACAUUUAAUUUUUUAUCAACUCUUUGUCCUAGAACAGCCCCUACAGCAUAAUCACUAGCAUCACACAUAAUUUCAAAGGGAAAUUCCAAUCAGGUGGCUGAACAAUAGGUGCAGAAAUCAAGGCUUUCUUAAGUAUUUCAAAUGCUUCUACACAAUCAUCAUGAAAGACAAAAGGAAUAUCUUUUUGUAAUAGGUUAGUCAGAGGCCGAGAAAUUUUUGAGAAGUCCUUAAUGAACCUCCUAUAAAAACUGGCAUGACCAAGGAAACUUCUUAUACCUUUGAUGUCCUUGGGACACGACAUCUUUUCAAUAGCAUCAACUUUAGCUUUAUCAACUUCAAUACCUCUUUCAGAAAUUUUAUGCCCCAAGACAAUACCUUCAUUAACCAUAAAGUGGCACUUCUCCUAGUUCAAGACAAGAUUAGUUUCUUCACAUCUCUGCAAAACUCGAUCAAGGUUGCUCAAGCAAUCAUCAAAAGAGGAUCCAUAAACGGAGAAAUCAUCCAUGAAUACCUCACAAAUCUUUUCACAAAAGUCAGAGAAUAUAGCCAUCAUGCAUCUUUGAAAGGUAGCAGGUGCAUUACAUAAACCAAAAGGCAUACGUCUAUAAGCAAAAGAAUCGAAAGGGCAAGUAAAAUUGGUCUUUUCUUGAUCCUCAGCUCACACAGGUAUUUGAGAGAAGCCAGAGUAACCAUCUAGAAAACAAAAAUGUGUAUGUUUGGAUAAUCUUUCUAGCAUUUGAUCAAUGAAAGGCAAAGGGUAAUGAUAUUUUUUAGUAUAUUUAUUUAAUUUACGGAAAUCAAUUACCAUCCUAUAACCUGUAAUAAUUCUUUGCGGGAUCAAUUCAUCUUUAUCACUAGGAACAACAAUAAUACCUCCCUUCUUAGGGACACAAUGGACAGGACUUACCCACUGACUAUUAGCAACUGGAUAAAUUAUACCUGCCUCAAGGAGCUUUAAUAUUUCCUUUCUUACCACUUCUUUCAUCUUAGGAUUCAGCCGUCGUUGGUGAUCAAUAACUGGUUUGGCGUCUUUCUCCAAAUUUAUUUUGUGUUGACAUAGAGUGGGACUAAUGCCCUUAAGAUCAUCAAGAGUAUAUCCAAUAGCAGCACGGUGCUUCUUCAGAGUUUUCAAUAAAUUUUCUUCCUCCUUCUCUGAAAGGUUAGCACUAAUAAUAACAGGAUAUAUCUUCUUUUCAUCAAGAUAAGCAUAUUUAAGAGUAUCAGGCAAUGGUUUAAGCUCAAACACGGGAUCACCCUUGGGUGGAGGAGGAUCCCCUAGGAUUUCAACAGGCAAGUUGUGUUUCAGAAUAGGUCCCCAUUUAAAGAGUAUUUCAUCUAUUUCCCUUCUUUCAUUCAUAAACAUAUCAUUCUCAUGGUCUAGUAAAUAUUGUUCUAAAGGAUCAGUAGGAGGCACGGCAAUAGAAGCAAGACCAAUAAUUUCAUCUUUACUAGCCAAUUCCUCAUCACGGGGUUGUUUACGAAACUUAGCAAAAUUAAACUCAUGAGACAUAUCCCCUAAACCAACAAAAACAAUAUCCUUAUUGCAGUCUAUCUUAGCAUUAACAGUAUUCAAGAAGGUUCUACCAAAUAUAAUGGGACAAAAGCUAUCUUGUGGGGAACCAAGAACAAGAAACUCAGCAGGAUAUUUAACCUUCCCACACAAGACUCCAACAUAUCUAACAAUCCCAAUUGGUGAAAUAGUAUCUCUAUUGGCAAGCUUAAUGGUAACAUCGAUAUCUUCUAUCUCAGCAAGUGCAAUAUCAUGCAUACUUUCUUUGUAUAAGGAAUGGGGUAUUGCACUUUGCUACCUAUUGAGCUUGCGUUGGAUUUCCCUGAAGAGUAAAGGAUGAUGCAGCAGAGUAGCGUAAGUAUUUCCCUCAGUUUUUGAGAACCAAGGUAUCAAUCCAGUAGGAGGCUACGCUCAAGUCCCUCGUACCUGCACAAAACGAUAGCUACUCGCAACCAACGCGAUUAGGGGUUGUCAAUCCCUUCACGAUCACUUACGAGAGUGAGAUCUAAUAGAUAUAAUAUUUUUGGUAUUUUUGGUAUAAAGAUGCAAAGUAAAAAGUAAAAGCAAAGUAAAAACAAAGCAAGAUUAAAGUAAUGGAGAUUGAUAUGAUGAGAAUAGACCCGGGGCCAUAGGUUUCACUAGUGGCUUCUCUCAAGAGCAUAAGUAUUCUACGGUGGGUGAACAAAUUACUGUUGACCAAUUGAUAGAAUUGAGCAUAGUUAUGAGAAUAUCUAGGUAUGAUCAUGUAUAUAGGCAUCACGUCCGUGACAAGUAGACCGAAACGAUUCUGCAUCUACUACUAUUACUCCACUCAUCAACCGCUAUCCAGCAUGCAUCUAGAGUAUUAAGUUAAAAACAGAGUAACGCCUUAAGCAAGAUGGCAUGAUGUAGAGAGAUAAAUUCAUGCAAUAUGAAAUAAACCCCAUCUUGUUAUCCUUGAUGGCAACGAUGCAAUAUGUGCCUUGCUGCCCUUUCUGUCACUGGGAAAGGACACCGCAAGAUCGAACCCAAAGCUAAGCACUUCUCCCAUGGAAAGAACUACCAAUCUAGUUGGCCAAACCAAACAGAUAAUUCGAAGAGACUUGCAAAGAUAACCAAUCAUACAUAAAAUAAUUCAGAGAAUAUUCAAAUAUUAUUCAUAGAUAGACUUGAUCAUAAACCCACAAUUCAUCCGUCUCUACAAACACACCGCAAAAAGAAGAUUACAUCGAAUAGAUCUCCACAAGAGAGGGGGAGAACUUUGUAUUGACACUGAAAGAGAGAGAAGAAGCCAUCUAGCUACUAACUAUGGACCCGAAGGUCUGAGGUAAACUACUCACACUUCAUCGGAGAGGCUAUGAUGAUGUAGAAGCCCUCCGUGAUGACGACCCUCCUCCGGCGGAGCUCCGGAACAGGCCCCAAGAUGGGAUCUCGUGGAUACAGAAAGUUGCGGCGGUGGAAUUAGGUUUUUGGCUCAGUAUCUGUUUGUUCGGGGGUACGUAGGUAUAUAUAGGAGGAAGAAGUACGUCGGUGGAGCUCCAAGGGGCCCACGAGGCAGGGGGCGCGCCCUGGGGGGGGGGGGCGCCCCCCACCCUCAUGACCUCCUCUUUUGUUCCUUGUCGUAGGGUCCAAGUCUCCUGGAUCACGUUCGGUGAGAAAAUCACGUUCCCGAAGGUUUUAUUCUGUUUGGACUCCGUUUGAUAUUCCGUUUCUUUGAAACACUAAAAUAGGCAAAAAACAGCAAUUCUGGGCCGGGCCUCCGGUUAAUAGGUUAGUCCCAAAAAUAAUAUAAAAGUGGAAAAUAAAGCCCAAUAUAGUCCAAAACAGUAGAUAAUAUAGCAUGGAGCAAUCAAAAAUUAUAGAUACGUUGGAGACGUAUCAAGCAUCCCCAAGCUUAAUUCCUGCUCGUCCUCGAGUUGGUAAAUGAUAAAAAGAGAAUUUUUGAUGCGGAGUGCUACUUGGCAUAAGUUCAAUGCAAAUCUUCUUAAUUGUGGUAUGAAUAUUCAGAUUCGAAAGAUUCAAGACAAAGGUUUAUAUUGACAUAAAAAUAAUAAUACUUCAAGCAUACUAACAAAGCAAUUAUGUCUUCUCAAAAUAACAUGGCCAAAGAAAGUUAUCCCUACAAAAUAAUAUAGUCUGGCUAUGCUCUAUCUUCACCACACAAAGUAUUUAAAUCAUGCACAACCCUGAUGACAAGCCAAGCAAUUGUUUCAUACUCUAACUUUUUCAAUUUUCACUCAAUACAUGAGCGUGAGCCAUGGAUAUAGCACUAUAGGUGGAAUAGAAUGGUGGUUGUGGAGAAGACCAAAAGGAGAAGAUAGUCUCACAUCAACUAGGCGUAUCAAUGGGCAAUCGAGAUGCCCAUCUAUAGAUAUCAAUGUGAGUGAGUAGGGAUUGCUAUGCAACGGAUGCACUAGAGCUAUAAGUAUAUGAAAGCUCAAAAAGAAAACUAAGUGGGUGUGCAUCCAACUUGCUUGCUCAUGAAGACCUAGGGCAAUUUGAGGAAGCCCAUCAUUGGAAUAUACAAGCCAAGUUCUAUAAUGAAAAUUCCCACUAGUAUAUGAAAGUGAUAACAUGAGAGACUCUCUACUAUGAAGAUCAUGGUGCUACUUUGAAGCACAAGUGUGGUAAAAGGAUAGUAACAUUGUCCCUUCUCUCUUUUUCUCUCAUUUUUUUAUUUUUUUAUUUGGGCCUUUUCUCUUUUUUUUAUGGCCUCUUUUUUUAUUUGGGCUCUUUGGCCUCUUUUAUUUAUUUUUCGUCCGGAGUCUCAUCCCGACUUAUGGGGGAAUCAUAGUCUCCAUAAUCCUUUCCUCACUUGGGACAAUGCUCUAAUAAUGAUGAUCAUCACACUUUUAUUUUUCUUACAACUCAACAAUUACAACUUGAUACCUAGAAGAAAAUAUGACUCUAUAUGAAUGCAUCCGGCGGGGUACCGGGAUAUGCAAUAUGACAAUGAUGGAGUGUGUCAUAAUAAACGGAAUGGUGGAAAGUUGCAUGGCAAUAUAUCUCGGAAUGGCUAUGGAAAUGCCAUAAUAGGUAGGUAUGGUGGCUGUUUUGAGGAAGGGUAUAUGGUAGGUGUAUGAUACCGGCGAAAGGUGCGCGGUAUUAGAGAGGCUAGCAAAGGUGGAAGGGUGAGAGUGCGUAUGAUCCAUGGACUCAACAUUAGUCAUAAAGAACUCAUAUACUUAUUGCAAAAAUCUAGAAGUUAUCAAAGCAAAGUAUUACACGCAUGCUCCUAGGGGGAUAGAUUGGUAGUAAAAGACCAUCGCUCGUCCCCGACCGCCACUCAUAAGGAAGAUAAUCAAUAAAUAAAUCAUGCUCCGACUUCAUCACAUAACGGUUCACCAUACGUGCAUGCUACGGGAAUCACAAACUUUAACACAAGUAUUCUUUAAAUUCACAACUACUCAACUAGCAUGACUUUAAUAUUAUCACCUCCAUAUCUGAAAACAAUUAUCAUGCUUCAAUCUUUUCUUAGUAUUCAACACACUCAAAAGAAAGUUUCACAAAUCUUGAACAGCAAGCAUAUUAUUAUUAAGCAAAUUACCAUGCUAUUAAGAGACUCUCAAAAUAAUUUAAGUGAAGCAUGAGAGAUUAAUAGUUUCUUUAAAACAAAUCCACCACCGUGCUCUAAAAGAUCUAAGUGAAGCACAUAGAGCAAAAUUAUAACGCUCAAAAGAUAUAAGUGAAGCACAUAGAGCAAAACUACUUAGCUCAAAAGAUAUAAGUGAAGCACAUAGAGUAUUCUAGCAAAUUUUAAUUCAUAUAUGGCUCUCUCAAAAGGUGUGUACAGCAAGGAUGAUUGUGUUAUACUAAGACACAAAGACACAAAUAAUACAAGACCCUCCAAGCAAAACGCAUAUCAUGUUGGUGAAUAAAAAUAUAGCUCCAAGUAAAUUACCGAUGGAAGUGGACGAAAGAGAGGAUGCCUCCCGGGGUAUCCCCAAGCUUCGACUUUCUGGUGUCCUUGGAUUAUCUUGGGGGUUCCAUGGGCAUCCCAAAUCUUAGGCUCUUGCCACUCCUUGUUCCAUGAUCCAUCAAAAGAAUUCACCAAAAACUUGAAAACUUCACAACACAAAACUUAAAGUAGAAAACUCGUGAGCUCCGUUAGCGAAAGAAAACAAAAGACCACUUCAAGGAACUGUAAUGAACUCAUUCUUUAUUUAUAUUGGUGUUAAACCUACUGUAUUCCAACUUCUCUAUGGAUUAUAAACUAUUUUACUAGCCAUAGAUUCAUCAAAAUAAGCAAACAACACACGAAAAACAGAAUCUGUCAAAAACAGAACAGUCUGUAGUAAUCUGUAGCUAGAGCAAGAUCUGGAACCCCAAAAAUUCUAAAAUAAAUUUCUGGACGUGAGUAAUUUAUCUAUUAAGCAUCUGCAAAAAUAAUUAACUAAAUAUCACUCUUCAAAUAAAAAUUACAGCAAUUCUCGUGAGCGCUAAAGUUUCUGUUUUUUUACAGCAAGUUCAACAAGACUUUCCCCAAGUCUUCCCAACGGUUCUACUUGGAAAAAACACUAAUUAAACACAAAAAACACACAACCAAAACAGAGGCUAGGUAAUUUAUUUAUUAAAUAACAUCAAGGAUAAAUAUUGGGUUGACUCCCAACAAGCGCUUUUCUUUAAAGCCUUAUAGCUAGGCAUUGGUAAUUUUAAUGAUGCUCACAAGAAAGACAAGAAUUGAAGCACAAAAGGAGCAUCAUAAAGCAUGUGACAAACACAUCUAAGUCUAACAUACUUCCUAUGCAUAGGCUUCUUAAAGGCAAACAAAUUAUCAUAGCGAGCAAAAACUAGCAUAUGCAAGGAAGCGGAAAGAAAUAAUAGCAAUCUCAACAUAACGAGAGGUAAUUUAGUAACAUGAAAAUUUCUACCACCAUAUUUUCCUCUCUCGUAAUAAUUAUAUGUAGGAUCAUAAGAAAAUUCAAUAAAAUAGCUAUCACAUAAAAUAUUUUCAACACGAUCCACAUGCAUGCAAAGUUGACACUCUUUCAAAAUAGUGGGAUUAACAUUAACUAAAGUCAUGACCUUUCGAGACCCACUUUUAUCAAAAAUUUCAUAAGAUUGAUCAUUCUCCAAAUUUGUGGGAUCCAAAGUUGAUACUCUUCCAAACCCACUUUCAGUAAUAUUCCAAACACUAUUAUCAAUCUCAUAUUCAUCAUGGGGCUUAAAUAAAUUUUCAAUAUCAUAAGAAGAAUCACCCCAAUCAUGAUCAUUGCAACAAGUAGAGGACAUAGCAAAACUAGCAUCUCCAAGCUUAGGGUUUUGCAUAUUAUUAGCACAAUUGACAUCAAGAGAGUUUAUAGUAAAAUCAUUGCAAUCAUGCUUUUUAUUCAAAGAUCUAUCAUGAAUCGCUUCAUAAAGUAAUUCAUCACACUUUUCAGAUUCACGAAUUUCAAGCAAAACCUCAUAAAGAUAAUCUAGUGAACAAAACUUACUAGCAACUGGUUCAUCAUAAUUAGAUCUCUUAAAAAGAUUAGCAAGCGGAUGAGGAUCCAUAGAUCUUAGGUUCUCUAUUUAGUAAUAAAUAAACAACUAUUCCAACCAUACGAGCAAACAAGAAACGAGCAAAAGAGGCAAAUAGAGAGGGAGGAUAGAGAGAGGGAGAAUAAAUGGCAAGGGUGAAGUGGGGGAGAGGAAAACGAGAGGAAAAUGGCAAAUAAUGUAAUGCGAGAGAUAGGGAUUGUGAUGGGUACUUGGUAUGUUGACUUUUGCGUAGACUCCCCGGCAACGGCGCCAGAAAUUCUUCUUGCUACCUCUUGAGCUUGCGUUGGAUUUCCCCAAAGAGGAAAGGAUGAUGCAGCAGAGUAGCGUAAGUAUUUCCCUCAGUUUUUGAGAACCAAGGUAUCAAUCCAGUAGGAGGCUACGCUCAAGUCCCUCGUACCUGCACAAAACGAUAGCUACUCGCAACCAACGCGAUUAGGGGUUGUCAAUCCCUUCACGGUCACUUACGAGAGUGAGAUCUGAUAGAUAUAAUAUUUUUGGUAUAAAGAUGCAAAGUAAAAAGUAAAAGCAAAGUAAAAACAAAGCAAGAUUAAAGUAAUGGAGAUUGAUAUGAUGAGAAUAGACCCCGGGGCCAUAGGUUUCACUAGUGGCUUCUCUCAAGAGCAUAAGUAUUCUACGGUGGGUGAACAAAUUACUGUUGAGCAAUUGAUAGAAUUGAGCAUAGUUAUGAGAAUAUCUAGGUAUGAUCAUGUAUAUAGGCAUCACGUCCGUGACAAGUAGACCGAAACAAUUCUGCAUCUACUACUAUUACUCCACUCAUCGACCGCUAUCCAGCAUGCAUCUAGAGUAUUAAGUUAAAAACAGAGUAAUGCCUUAAGCAAGAUGACAUGAUGUAGAGAGAUAAAUUCAUGCAAUAUGAAAUAAACCCCAUCUUGUUAUCCUCGAUGGUAACGAUGCAAUACGUGCCUUGCUGCCCUUUCUGUCACUGGGAAAGGACACCGCAAGAUCGAACCCAAAGCUAAGCACUUCUCCCAUUGCAAGAACUACCAAUCUAGUUGGCCAAACCAAACAGAUAAUUUGAAGAGACUUGCAAAGAUAACCAAUCAUACAUAAAAUAAUUCAGAGAAUAUUCAAAUAUUAUUCAUAGAUAGACUUGAUCAUAAACCCACAAUUCAUCCAUCUCUACAAACACACCGCAAAAAGAAGAUUACAUCGAAUAGAUCUCCACAAGAGAGGGGGAGAACUUUGUAUUGAGAUUCAAAGAGAGAGAAGAAGCCAUCUAGCUACUAACUAUGGACACGAAGGUCUGAGGUAAACUACUCACACUUCAUCGGAGAGGCUAUGAUGAUGUAGAAGCCCUCCGUGAUGACGGCCCUCCUCCGGCGGAGCUCCGGAACAGGCCCCAAGAUAGGAUCUCAUGGAUACAGAAAGUUGAGGCGGUGGAAUUAGGUUUUUGGCUCAGUAUCUGUUCGUUUGGGGGUACGUAGGUAUAUAUAGGAGGAAGAAGUACGUCGGUGGAGCUCCGAGGGGCCCACGAGGCAGGGGGGCACGCCCUAGGGGGGGGGGGCGCCCCCCACCCUCGUGACCUCCUCUUUUGUUCCUUGGCGUAGGGUCCAAGUCUCCUGGAUCACGUUCGGUGAGAAAAUCACGUUCCCGAAGGUUUUAUUCCGUUUGGACUCCGUUUGAUAUUCCAUUUCUUUGAAACACUGAAAUAGGCAAAAAACAACAAUUCUGGGCUGGGCCUCCGGUUAAUAGGUUAGUCCCAAAAAUAAUAUAAAAGUGGAAAAUAAAGCCCAAUAUAGUCCAAAACAGUAGAUAAUAUAGCAUGGAGCAAUCAAAAAUUAUAGAUACAUUGGAGACGUAUCACACUUGCACUAGCACCCAUAUCACAUAAGCCAUGAUAGCAAUGAUCUCCUAUUUUAAUAGAAAUAACAGGCAUGCCUAUAACAGGUCUAUGUUUAUUUUUAGUAUUGGGUCUAGCAAUUCUAGCAGUCUCAUCACAGAAGUAAAUAACAUGCCCAUCAAUAUUAUCGGCCAAGAGAUCUUUAACCAUAGCAAUAUUAGGUUCAACUUUAACUUGCUCAGGGGGUUUGUGUGUCCUAAUAUUACUUUUGUUGACUACAGUUGAAACUUUAGCAUGAUCCUUUAUUCUAACAGGGAAAGGUGGUUUCUCAACAUAAGCAGUAGGAACAACAGGAUCAUUAUAAGUGAUAGUCUUUUCUUCAACUUUAACAGGUGCAACUACUUUUACUUCAAUGGGAGGAUUAUAUUUAAACCACUUCUCCUUAGGGAGAUCAACAUGAGUAGCAAAGGAUUCACAUAAAGAAGCUACUAUCUCAGAGUCAAGUCCAUAUUUAGUGCUAAAUUCACGAAAUGCAUCGGUAUCCAUAAAAGAUUUAACACAAUCAAACUUAGGUGUUAUACCUGACUCCUUACCUUCGUCGAGACCCAAUCUUCAGAGUUGCGUCUAAUUCUUUCCAAUAAAUCCCAUUCGAAUUCAAUAGUCUUCAUCAUAAAAGAUCCAAUACAAGAAGUAUCGAGCAUGGAGCGAUUACUGAGAGAAAGCCGAGCAUAAAUUUUUUGAAUAAUCAUUUCUCUUGAGAUCUCAUGAUUGGGGCAUGAAUAUAACAUUGACUUAAGCCUCCCUCAAGCAUGAGCGAUGCUUUCUCCUUUGUGAGGCCAACAAUUAUAUAUAUAAUUAUGAUCACGAUGAACAAGAUACAUAGGAUAAAACUUCUGGUGAAAUUCCAAUUUCAAUCGCUUAUAGUCCCAUGAUCCCAUAUCAUCACAUAGCCUAUACCAUGUCAAUGCAUCUCCCUUCAAAGAUAAAGGGAAUACCUUCUUCUUGAUAACAUCCUCGGGCAUACCUGGAAGCUUAAAUAAUCCACAAACUUCAUCCACAUAGAUUAAGUGUAAAUCGGGAUGCAAUGUUCCAUCUCCCGCAAAAGGAUUAGCUAGCAGUUUCUCUAUCAUACCCGAAGGAGGAGAAACUCUUUGCUCUACUGGUCGGGGUGAAGAUACCCUGAACAAGCCCCUCAAAGGAUUAUGUUCCAUAGUAACAAGUGACAGUAAAAUUCAGCACACUAUAUAAAUUUUUCCUUACCAAAUUCCACCUACCAAAGACGCUUCACUCCCCGACAACGGCGCCAGAAAAGAGUCUUGAUGACCCACAAGUGUAGGGGAUCUAUCGUAGCUUUUCGAUAAGUAAGAGUGUCGAACCCAACGAGGAGCAGAAGGAAAUGAUAAGCAGUUUUCAGUAAGGUAUUCUCUGCAAGCACUGAAAUUACCGGUAACAUAUAGUUUUGUGAUAAGAUAAAUUGUAACGAGUAGCAAGUGAUAAAAGUAAAUAAGGUGCAGCAAGAUGGCCCAAUCCUUUUUGUAGCAAAGGACAAGCCUGGACAAACUCUUAUAUGAAGGAAAGCGCUCCCGAGGACACAUGGGAAUUAUCGUCAAGCUAGUUUUCAUCACGAUCAUAUAAUUCGCGUUCGGUACUUUGAUAAUUUGAUAUGUGGGUGGACCAGUGCUUGGGUACUGUCCUUACUUGGACAAGCAUCCCACUUAUGAUUAACCCCUAUUUCAAGCAUUCGCAACUACAACAGAAGUAUUAAGGUAAACCUAACCAUAGCCUGAAACAUAUGGAUCCAAAUCAGCCCCUUACGAAGCAAUGCAUAAACUAGGGUUUAAGCUUCUGUCACUCUAGCAACCCGUCAUCUACUUAUUACUUCCCAAUGCCUCCCUCUAGGCCCAAACAAUGGUGAAGUGUCAUGUAGUCGACGUUUACAUGACACCACUAGAGGGAUGACAACAUACAUCUCAUCAAAGUAUUGAAUGAAUACCAAAUUCACAUGACUACUAAUAGCAAGACUUCUCCCAUGUCCUCAAGAACAAACAUAACUACUCACAAAGCAUAUUCAUGUUCAUAAUCAGAGGGGUAUUAAUAUGCAUAAUGGAUCUGAACAUAUGAUCUUCCACCAAGUAAACCAACUA